AGUCUAGGCAGGAUAGGUACAUAUGCUUCUGAGAAACCAAAUGAAGCGGCUGGGUAGGUAACAAUUCACUUUCAGACAGUGGAUCCAAAGUCCCUUCCAGCCCUGCCCUUCUCUGAACUAAUUAAGUUACCAGAUGCUACUGUGAGUUUCUCCUGUGCUCCAUUGAAUUUAUUUUUACUCUUCACUGGGAAAGAACUGUGCAGGUAGGAGGUUCCCAUCUUUUGAAUAUAUUUAGACACAAGACAGUUUUGUAACAUGACCAUUGAGACCCUCCUAAACCUCAGUGAGCCUUGCAGAGCCAGAGCACACAGUGAGAGAUGGCCUCCAGUUCCUUGUGACAAGUACUGACACCGGGACCUUGGUGACCCAUCACUGCAGAACUAUCUGAGAAUCCAGGGGACAAAAUGUCCCUCUGGCAUCCUCCUUGCAUCUUUAACUCUUCUGGGAAAAAAAUCUUCCAAUUAUUCAACGAACAGCAGCAGGUUUCUCUCCUGCAUUGGUGCCAGUGUGCACCUGCUUGGCUUUGAAGUAAGUACUCUGAGGUUUUCUGGUGCCUUACAGAAGCAGAGAAGAGACCACCCUAGAGGGAUGCUGGCAUGUAACUUCCCCAUGUCACUGAAAGCUCUAGACAAAAGGUACUUCAUACCUUGAACCUAAAACUGUUUGGAAUAAGUCAGUGCACUGUGGGGCUGAAGGGCAGGGUUUUGUUUGUUUCAACUGACCUUCGUUCAUGGUCUGAUUUUUGCCGCUCCCCAGUCUAACUCUUGCAUCAUGGGACAAUUGAACCAAGUCCACAAGAAUAUGGCUUUCUUCAAAAGCAUGAUUAUUGACGGUUGUUUCUAUGACAAAGGUGGCCUGAUGGUAUCUUCCUAUUUGAGUGAAAGGGAAGAUAAAAAUGAAUGAGAUUGUCAAACAUGGCUGAAAACUUAAUUUCAGUCUGUGUCAUUUCCAUUCCCAACUGGAAUAAUACUAUACAGUGUUCAUAAACAUGAUCUUGGAAGUGAUGGGAGGGGAACCAGUACAGCUCUCAUUUAGACUCCUCACUGUGGUGAGUACAAGGCCAGCAGAGGUGGGAGGGCAAGGGAGGAGGGUGCCCUGAACUUUGCCUGGGUCACCAACCAGCUGUGCAAACUCCAACUGGCUCUCUCCAGGGGAGCAGAGGGAGGGUGUGAGGUUAGUACAACAGCCAAAGAACGUUGACAGAUACCAGGGACUUCUGUCACUUCUAUGAAAACAAGCUGCACACAGACACCUCUGAGGGAGUUGGAGCACAGGCUACCCCCUUGAACCUGGGUCUGAAGCUCAGGUUUUUCCCAACCGGUUUUUCAUGGCCAGUGAGGGAAGGGUAUAGGAACCACUGGCUGGGGUGCCUGGCCUUCUCCAUCCCUUGGAGGACAGAAUGAGGAACUUGAAGCUGUAAAGCACAAUACUGUUUGGGAAUAUGCACAUUUUCUAACCAGGUCCCAGGAAUCUAAAAGGACUCUCCCAUAGCUGUGUUACCAAACCCAGGGUCAAAUGUUGGCAGCCCCCCCCUCCUGUCCCGGUUAGCCUCUCGGCACCACAGGGGAGUGGUCCAGUGACAUGUAGACUCCUCUCCUGAUGGAUGCUCUACAGCAGGACCCCACUGAGUGACUGGAAGUGGCUCAGUUGCUGUCCGUAGUACAGUGAACAGAGUGUUUGCUGUUUGUCAGCCACUCCCGACACUACUCAGACCUGUGUACCUCAGGCUCAGUACCCCACCAGGCUUUCCAAUGACGGUUCUGUCUUGUGUCAAUUAGGAUGUUUUCUUGUUACCCAGAAGUAUUUUUCUAUGUGAGUGAAAUGUAUACUUUGUGUAAUUUUUGUACAUUAAAACAUAUGCUUUUUACCAUAA
Molecule: long non-coding RNA, 1873 nt
Filed under: Rattus norvegicus (Norway rat)
Lineage: Eukaryota; Metazoa; Chordata; Mammalia; Rodentia; Muridae
Description: long non-coding RNA NONRATT009994
Source: RNAcentral